UUUCCGUAGGUGAACCUGCGGAAGGAUCAUUAUCGUACAAAAUGUGGGGGGCAUGCGAGGGCUGUCUCUGACCGAAAAGUCGUGCACGCCCGAGUGUGUCCUCUUGCAUAACAAUCCAUCUCACCAUUUGUGCAUCCCCGCGUGGGCAUCCUUCGGAAUUAUCCCGAAGGGGGGCACGCGUUUUCAAACAUAUCCCCCAUAUAAAAGUGAAGAAUGACCACAUUAAUGCAAUCAAUACAACUUUCAACAACGGAUCUCUUGGCUCUC
RNAcentral lists this unclassified non-coding RNA (267 nucleotides) under plant metagenome. RNAcentral describes it as "partial contains small subunit ribosomal RNA, internal transcribed spacer 1, and 5.8S ribosomal RNA". The record is from RNAcentral.